Molecule: ribosomal RNA, 235 nt
Filed under: uncultured bacterium
Lineage: Bacteria
Description: partial 16S ribosomal RNA
Rfam family: Bacterial small subunit ribosomal RNA
Source: RNAcentral
CGUAAAGGAGCGUAGGCGGACAUUUAAGUCAGGGGUGAAAUCCCGGGGCUCAACCUCGGAAUUGCCUUUGAUACUGGGUGUCUUGAGUGUGAGAGAGGUAUGUGGAACUCCGAGUGUAGAGGUGAAAUUCGUAGAUAUUCGGAAGAACACCAGUGGCGAAGGCGACAUACUGGCUCAUUACUGACGCUGAGGCUCGAAAGCGUGGGGAGCAAACAGGAUUAGAUACCCCUGGUAG